UGGGAUUCGCCUGCGUAAAGAAUGGGAUGUGACAGAUGAAUGAUGGGGGAGUCCCCUGGGUGACAUUAGCACAGUCCUAUGGGCAUUAUGGCACCGUCCCCUGGUAACCCGAUAGGCGCUAGCCUUCAUUGGUUGUUUACUGUCAGUUCAACACACAGUAAUCAGCAUCAGUAGCCAACUGAAGUUAGAUGAAUCCUACAUUAACCCUGUGAUGGACCAACUGAAGGGCAGGACGGAAGCUUACGCACGGGCGAAGGUGGACCAGUGCAUGAAGGUCCGGAUCGGUCAGCACUGAUGCCAAGGAACAGUAUUACAUCCAGUGGAACCAGAAGAACCACAUCCUCCGCAAAAGGCAAAGCAGUCAGUCUGAAGUCCACAACCUGGAGAUUCCCCUUCUCACCAAGACACGAACGUGGUUGUCAACCAGCAGGAUGGAGGCUCGUCACGGCGGCGCGUGUCCACAGUCCCUCUGGCACACUGAAGCGUGGAGCCGCCCUCUUUCACUCGUCUUCAUUCAUGGUGGAUGGUUAUUGUCUGAUUAUGAAUACAGCUGGCAGCCUGCGCGCGUGUCAUUAUCCACUAUGCCCAGGCUAUACACGGCGUGCCAGCUGGCCAUAUCUUAUCUUAUCUGACUCUACCUUCUCCUGCACUGUGCGCUGCCAGAUACAUUAGCCCAGGCUGAUUUGGUGCUUAUGAAACCCC
This 702-nucleotide long non-coding RNA is filed under the name Betta splendens (Siamese fighting fish). RNAcentral's name for it is "lncRNA (ENSBSLG00000005468.1)". Lineage: Eukaryota; Metazoa; Chordata; Actinopteri; Anabantiformes; Osphronemidae. The record is from RNAcentral.